UACGAAGGGGGCUAGCGUUGCUCGGAAUCACUGGGCGUAAAGGGUGCGUAGGCGGGUCUUUAAGUCAGGGGUGAAAUCCUGGAGCUCAACUCCAGAACUGCCUUUGAUACUGAGGAUCUUGAGUACGGGAGAGGUGAGUGGAACUGCGAGUGUAGAGGUGAAAUUCGUAGAUAUUCGCAAGAACACCCGUGGCGAAGGCGGCUCUCUGGGACGGUACUGACGCUGAGACGCGAAAGCGUGGGGAGCGAACAGG
Molecule: ribosomal RNA, 253 nt
Filed under: uncultured bacterium
Lineage: Bacteria
Description: partial 16S ribosomal RNA
Rfam family: Bacterial small subunit ribosomal RNA
Source: RNAcentral